This 200-nucleotide ribosomal RNA is filed under the name uncultured bacterium. RNAcentral describes it as "partial 16S ribosomal RNA". It matches the Rfam family "Bacterial small subunit ribosomal RNA", at positions 30 to 228 of the family's 1533-position model. The record is from RNAcentral.
AUUGAACGCUGGCGGAAUGCUUUACACAUGCAAGUCGAACGGCAGCACGGGAGCUUGCUCCUGGUGGCGAGUGGCGAACGGGUGAGUAACAUAUCGGAACGUAUCCAAUAAUGGGGGAUAACGAGUCGAAAGAUUCGCUAAUACCGCAUACGCCCUGAGGGGGAAAGCUGGGGAUCGCAAGACCUGGCGUUAAUGGAGCG